UGGCAGAGGUCAUCUUUGCGAUAACAUCAAGCACCAAAGAUGCAUGUGGGAAACCUCCGACCGAGCGGCUCUUCCUCGACAAGUAUGGGAGGAUAUGCCUAUCGCUUGAUGAAAUUGUUUGGCAGGGCAUGCUGGAAAAUACAGAGAAGGAGAGAAUCAAACGGUUGAUAAGGAUGAAACCUCCAGCUGAUGUGUGACUUGCUGGCUUCUGAUUCAUUUACUCAGCAUUAUCUAUAUUUCUGUAAAAGUUCACCGAUGAGCAUCAGCUUCUCACUCAAGCUUCACUGAUUUGAUCGUUCUGUGUUUAUGUGACACAUGCGACCAUAGUUGUUGAUAUUUCUAAAAAAAAAAAGAGAAAAUUUUUCUUGAGUUA
This is a long non-coding RNA of Dendrobium catenatum, 373 nucleotides long. RefSeq lists it as uncharacterized. NCBI's taxonomy places the organism in Eukaryota, Viridiplantae, Streptophyta, Magnoliopsida, Asparagales, Orchidaceae. The record is from RefSeq and is a predicted model, not a curated record. The transcript has 2 exons.